CAAUAGCGUAUAUUAAAGUUGUUGCGGUUAAAAAGCUCGUAGUUGGAUUUCUGCCGAGGACGACCGGUCCGCCCUCUGGGUGAGUAUCUGGCUCGGCCUGGGCAUCUUCUUGGAGAACGUAUCUGCACUUGACUGUGUGGUGCGGUAUCCAGGACUUUUACUUUGAGGAAAUUAGAGUGUUUCAAGCAGGCUAUCGCCUUGAAUAUGUUAGCAUGGAAUAAUGAUAUAGGACUUUGGUUCUAUUUUGUUGGUUGUUCGAGAACCGAAGUAAUGAUUGAUAGGGACAGUUGGGGGCAUCAGUAUUCUGAAGCGAGAGGUGAAAUUCUUGGACCUUCGGAAGACUAACAACUGCGAAAGCAUUUGCCUAGGAUGUUCUCUUUAAUCAAGAACGAAAGUUGGGGGAGUCGAAGAUGAUUAGAUACCAU
Molecule: ribosomal RNA, 425 nt
Filed under: uncultured eukaryote
Lineage: Eukaryota
Description: SSU rRNA
Rfam family: Eukaryotic small subunit ribosomal RNA
Source: RNAcentral